Molecule: small nucleolar RNA, 70 nt
Organism: Alosa alosa (allis shad)
Lineage: Eukaryota; Metazoa; Chordata; Actinopteri; Clupeiformes; Clupeidae
Product: small nucleolar RNA SNORD58
Exons: 1
Source: RefSeq, a predicted model, not a curated record
AUGCAAUGAUGACAUCUUAGGACACCUUUGGAGGUUGCGACCAAUGAAACGAAUUCUUGGACUGAGUAUG